Molecule: ribosomal RNA, 395 nt
Filed under: uncultured bacterium
Lineage: Bacteria
Description: bacterial SSU rRNA
Rfam family: Bacterial small subunit ribosomal RNA
Source: RNAcentral
GACGAACGCUGGCGGCGUGCCUAACACAUGCAAGUCGAACGAGAUCCAUGGGAGCUUGCUCCCGGAAGAUCUAGUGGCGAACGGGUGAGUAACACGUGAGAAACCUGCCCUGGAGUGGGGAAUAACUCGGGGAAACUCGAGCUAAUACCGCAUACCCUCGGAUGGUCGCAUGGCCGACCGAGGAAAGAUUUAUCGCUCUAGGAGGGUCUCGCGGCCUAUCAGCUAGUUGGUGGGGUAACGGCCUACCAAGGCAACGACGGGUAGCUGGUUUGAGAGAACGAUCAGCCACACUGGGACUGAGACACGGCCCAGACUCCUACGGGAGGCAGCAGUGGGGAAUUUUGGACAAUGGGCGAAAGCCUGAUCCAGCCAUGCCGCGUGUCUGAAGAAGGCCU